GACAGAGGCCUCAAGCGUUUAGGCGGAAUCACUGGGCUUAAAGCGUGUGUAGGCGGAUCGUUAAGUGUCUUGUGAAAUCCCACGGCUCACCCGUGGAACUGCUGGGCAUACUGGCGAUCUUGGGCCAACUAGGGGCAGCCGGAACAAGCGGUGGAGCGGUGAAAUGCGUAGAUAUCGCUUGGAACGCCGAAGGUGAAAACAGGCUGCUGGGGUUGUGCCGACGCUGAGACACGAAAGCCAGGGGAGCAAACGGG
RNAcentral lists this ribosomal RNA (254 nucleotides) under uncultured bacterium. Its description in RNAcentral is "partial 16S ribosomal RNA". It matches the Rfam family "Bacterial small subunit ribosomal RNA", at positions 524 to 776 of the family's 1533-position model. The record is from RNAcentral.